GAUGAACGCUGGCGGCGUGCCUAAUACAUGCAAGUCGAGCGAACAGAUGAGGAGCUUGCUCCUCUGACGUUAGCGGCGGACGGGUGAGUAACACGUGGAUAACCUACCUAUAAGACUGGGAUAACUUCGGGAAACCGGAGCUAAUACCGGAUAAUAUAUUGAACCGCAUGGUUCAAUAGUGAAAGACGGUUUUGCUGUCACUUAUAGAUGGAUCCGCGCCGCAUUAGCUAGUUGGUAAGGUAACGGCUUACCAAGGCAACGAUGCGUAGCCGACCUGAGAGGGUGAUCGGCCACACUGGAACUGAGACACGGUCCAGACUCCUACGGGAGGCAGCAGUAGGCAAUCUUCCGCAAUGGGCGAAAGCCUGACGGAGCAACGCCGCGUGAGUGAUGAAGGUCUUCGGAUCGUAAAACUCUGUUAUUAGGGAAGAACAAAUGUGUAAGUAACUAUGCACGUCUUGACGGUAUCUAAUCAGAAAGCCACGGCUAACUACGUG
Molecule: ribosomal RNA, 497 nt
Filed under: uncultured bacterium
Lineage: Bacteria
Description: partial 16S ribosomal RNA
Rfam family: Bacterial small subunit ribosomal RNA
Source: RNAcentral